This 225-nucleotide ribosomal RNA is filed under the name Triticum aestivum (bread wheat). RNAcentral describes it as "partial small subunit ribosomal RNA". Lineage: Eukaryota; Viridiplantae; Streptophyta; Magnoliopsida; Poales; Poaceae. The record is from RNAcentral.
AUGGAUCUAAGCCCAUCGGUGACAUGCUGGAACGUUCAUGGGCUGAAAAAUCCGGCGAAGUGGAAAGCGGUGAAGGAGUUUUUGGACUCAAUCAAACCUGGCCUUGUGUGCCUUCAGGAAACAAAAUUAGAUGUUGUAGAUGACUUUAUCAUAAUGCAAUGUUGUGGGUCGUCCUUUGACGGCUUUGCCUAUCUCCCAGCUGUUGAAACGAGAGGAGGAAUCAUA